Molecule: ribosomal RNA, 2777 nt
Filed under: freshwater metagenome
Description: bacterial LSU rRNA
Rfam family: Bacterial large subunit ribosomal RNA
Source: RNAcentral
AAGGGUAUCCCACACUGAAUACAUAGGUGUGUGGAAGCGAACCCGGUGAACUGAAACAUCUAAGUAGCCGGAGGAAAAGAAAUCAACCGAGAUUCCGAAAGUAGUGGCGAGCGAAAUCGGACAAGCCCAAACCAGCGUGCGUGCACUCUGGGGUUGUAGGACCUGCAUCAAGGGGAGAACGAUAGGAGAAGUGUCUGGGAAGGCACGCUAUAAAGGGUGAAAGCCCCGUAUCCGAAAUUGUUCAAACUGGGCGGGUAUCCUGAGUAAGACGGGGCACGUGAAACCCUGUCUGAAUCUGGGGGGACCACCCUCCAAGGCUAAAUACUCCUGACUGACCGAUAGUGGACGAGUACCGUGAGGGAAAGGUGAAAAGAACCCCGAUGAGGGGAGUGAAAUAGAACUUGAAACCGUGUGCUUACAGACAGUCAGAGGGCUAUUGUAAAGCCUGAUGGCGUACCUUUUGCAUUAUGAUUCAGCGAGUUAUGGUAUGUGGCGAGAUUAAGCCGUUGCAGGUGUAGUCGUAGGGAAACCGAGUCUGAAUAGGGCGUUAGUCGCAUGCUGUAGACCCGAAACGGGAUGAGCUAUCCAUGGGCAGGUUGAAGCGGGGGUAAAACCUCGUGGAGGACCGAACCGGUGACGGUUGAAAACGUCUCGGAUGACUUGUGGAUAGGGGUGAAAGGCCAAUCAAAUUCCGUGAUAGCUGGUUCUCUCCGAAAUGCAUUUAGGUGCAGCGUUUAGCGAUUACUGUCGGGGGUACAGCACUGACUAGGCUAGGGGCAUUACCGUGCUACCAAACCUUAUCAAACUCUGAAUACCGACAAGUACAGCUAUGCAGUGAGUCUAUGGAUGCUAAGGUCCGUGGACAAAAGGGAAAGAGCCCAGAUCAUCAGCUAAGGUCCCUAAAUUGACGCUAAGUGGAGAACGUUGUGGAACUACUGUGACAUCCAGGAGGUUGGCUUAGAAGCAGCCAUCCUUUAAAGAAAGCGUAAUAGCUCACUGGACUAGUGGUUCUGCGCGGAAAAUGUAACGGGGCUUAAGCGUCGUACCGAAGCUAUGAACUUUUUAAGUGGUAGGAGAGCAUUGUGCGUGCUGAUGAAGGCGUACCGUAAGGAGCGCUGGAGGUCCCACAAGAGCUGAUGCUGAAAUGAGUAGCGAUAAGGAGAGCGAGAAUCUCUCCCACCGUAAACACAAGGGUUCCUGGGCCAGGUGAAUCCUCCCAGGGUAAGCCGGAACCUAAGGCGAGGCCGAAAGGCGUAGUCGAUGGACAACAGGUUAAUAUUCCUGUGCUUGGUGUAAAACGUUCGACCGUACGGAAUGACGGAGAAAGGUAGUGGAUCGAGAGAUUGGUUGUUCUCGUGUAAGGGUGUAGGUGGGUCCGGUAGGUAAAUCCGCUGGGCUAUUAAACACUGAGACCUGAUGCCGAUGCGCAAGCAGAAGUCCAUGACCCUCAGCUUCCAAGAAAAGUUUCGUCGGGAGUUUUGCAUUAAUCCGUACCGCAAACCGACACAGGUGGAUGAGGAGAAAAUCCUAAGGCGCUUGGAAGAACUCUAGCUAAGGAACUCUGCAAAUUAGUACUGUAACUUCGGGAGAAGGUACGCCCUUGUACGUGAAGUCACUUGCUGACGUAGCGUUUGAGGGUCGCAGUGAAACGGGGGUAGCGACUGUUUAUCAAAAACACAGGUCUAUGCAAACACGCAAGUGGAAGUAUAUGGGCUGACGCCUGCCCGGUGCUGGAAGGUUAAAAGGUGAGGUUAGACGCAAGUCGAAGCUUUAAAUUGAAGCCCCAGUAAACGGCGGCCGUAACUAUAACGGUCCUAAGGUAGCGAAAUUCCUAGUCGGGUAAGUUCCGACCUGCACGAAUGGCGUAACGACUUCCCCACUGUCUCAGCUAGAGAUCCAGCGAAAUUGGUGAGCGCGUGAAGAAACGCGCUACCCGCGGAAGGACGAAAAGACCCCGUGAACCUUUACUGUAACUUGGCAUUGGGUUUCGGUUAACGAUGCGUAGGAUAGGUGGGAGCUUUUGAUCCGUGCGUUCCGGCGUACGGGGAGGCAACCUUGAAAUACCACCCUUCGUUGACUGGAAUCCUAACCUGCGAUCCUGAUCGGGUCGGGGGACAAUGUCUGGUGGGCAGUUUGACUGGGGCGGUCGCCUCCUAAAGAGUAACGGAGGCGCACAAAGGUUCCCUCAGGCUGAAUUGAAACCAGCCGUAGAGUGUAAACGCAUAAGGGAGCUUGACUGCGAGGCAAACACGCCGAGCAGGUGCGAAAGCAGGUGUUAGUGAUCCGGUGGUUCCGAGUGGAAGGGCCAUCGCUCAACGGAUAAAAGGUACUCCGGGGAUAACAGGCUGAUUUCCUCCAAGAGUUCACAUCGACGAGGAAGUUUGGCACCUCGAUGUCGGCUCAUCGCAUCCUGGGGCUGGAGCAGGUCCCAAGGGUUUGACUGUUCGUCAAUUAAAGCGGUACGCGAGCUGGGUUCAAAACGUCGUGAGACAGUUUGGUCUCUAUCCUCCGUGGGCGUAAGAGAUUUGAGAGGAGCUGACCUUAGUACGAGAGGACCGGGUUGGACGAACCUCUGGUGAACCGGUUGUGACGCCAGUUGCAUUGCCGGGUAGCUACGUUCGGAUCGGAUAACCACUGAAAGCAUCUAAGUGGGAAGCCGUCCUCAAGAUAAGAUUUCUAUUAAGGGUGCUUGUAGACUACGAGCUUGAUAGGUUGGGUGUGUAAGCGCUGUGAGGCGUUCAGCUGACCAAUACUAAUAACCCGUUUUGCUUUAUUUU